CAAAUAGGAAUGCAUAAAUUUCUAUGCAUGCCAAAUUCUCUAAAAUCUUUAUUAGGGCGAGAAGCAACAUUUAAAGAAGGCAAAAUGGAAUUUAAAGUUAAAAACAAUCAAUUAAUUGCAGUUUUGAGUUUAUCUUUAAUUCAACAGAAAAGCAAAAAGGAGGACCUCCCUGAAAUAGAAGAAAUCCUUAAUCAGGUAUAUGUGGGAGUAUGGGCAUCUGAAGUUCCAGCCAAAGAAAGCCAAAAUUUAUUUGCUUUUGAAUGGGAAAAUCCUGACACAGGAAGAAAAACUCAGUUAACUUGGACAGUAUUACCACAGGGGUUUAAAAACAGUCCAGCAAUUUUUAGAAAUCAGUUAGCACGAGAAUUAGAACCAUGAAAGCCACCCACUCAGAGGGGGACUCUGUCACAAUAUGUGGAUGACCUACUAAUUGCUACAGAAACAAAGGAAGAAUGUACCCAGUGGACAGUGGAAUUAUUAAAUUUUCUGGGACUGAAUGGUUAUCUGGUAUGCAGACAAAAGGCCUAACUAAUCCAAACCUGAGUUUCCUACCUAGGAUAUGAAAUAACAGGA
Pezoporus occidentalis (night parrot) is the source of this 573-nucleotide long non-coding RNA. RefSeq lists it as uncharacterized. NCBI's taxonomy places the organism in Eukaryota, Metazoa, Chordata, Aves, Psittaciformes, Psittacidae. The transcript is spliced from 2 exons. The record is from RefSeq and is a predicted model, not a curated record.